Non-coding RNA from Dermacentor albipictus, 793 nucleotides. The record is from RefSeq and is a predicted model, not a curated record. NCBI's taxonomy places the organism in Eukaryota, Metazoa, Arthropoda, Arachnida, Ixodida, Ixodidae.
AAAGGUCGCAAGGACGCUGCGCUCCAUCUGGAGAAAAUAACACUAAUCUAGAGUACUUUCUCCGUUAGGGUCAUGCAUCCGAAACCAUGCGUUUAGGUGCAGCCGUGUGCACGGCAUGACACCAGAGAGGAACGAGCAGUACAGGUGAAAUAACACUUGUGUACCCCAAGGCGACAAAGCUUCUGUUUUUGUGCCUUCGGCUUGCCGACACCGGCGUCUACCAUGGGAAAAGACGCAAGAGCAAAGCGCACGUUUCGAGAAGAAUGGAGAAAGGACAAGAAACUGAGCGGAUGGAUUUCGUCACGUGACGGCGGAACGACUGCUCACUGCAAGUACUGCAAUUGCAACAAUCAACCCCACUACAGUGAUCUGUUGAAGCACGCAGAAACCAAAAAGCACCGCGAGUGCGCAGUAAUCCCAAGUUCGCAACAAAAACUGCCGCAGCUUCUAGCGUCGGUAGUUCUGAACUUAGUGUCACACAUUACUCCCCCCCUCUUCUUUGGCUUCUGGAUUGGAUUGGCGCGGCUCGCUACGUGCUUGCGCGCGCUUUUCCGAGCGCAGAUUGGUGUGCGCCUAGUUUCUGCACUAGGCUGUUAUGCGAUCGCUUUUUCGAGCGCAGAUUGCGGAAGUGCAGCGCCGCGGGCCUACCGUGUAUGGAAGCGCACAGCAAUGCCGGGAAACAUUCAUACAAAAGCAAAGGGUCAGAAAAGUGCGCUUUAUUUUCCAUUACUAUGUCACACUGGGUAGCGCCGUGCGAUCGCUUCUAAUAAACGCAGAAACGAGUCCUUGCAGC